This 254-nucleotide ribosomal RNA is filed under the name uncultured bacterium. RNAcentral's name for it is "partial 16S ribosomal RNA". It matches the Rfam family "Bacterial small subunit ribosomal RNA", at positions 524 to 778 of the family's 1533-position model. The record is from RNAcentral.
UACGAAGGGGGCUAGCGUUGUUCGGAAUUACUGGGCGUAAAGCGCGCGCAGGCGGCUAUCCAAGUCAGUGGUGAAAUCCUGGAGCUCAACUCCAGAACUGCCUUCGAUACUGGCGAUCUUGAGUCCGGAAGAGGUGAGUGGAACUCCUAGUGUAGAGGUGGAAUUCGUAGAUAUUAGGAAGAACACCAGUGGCGAAGGCGGCUCACUGGCCGGUACUGACACUGAGAGACGAAAGCUAGGGGAGCAAAUGGGAU